This 253-nucleotide ribosomal RNA is filed under the name uncultured bacterium. RNAcentral describes it as "partial 16S ribosomal RNA". It matches the Rfam family "Bacterial small subunit ribosomal RNA", at positions 524 to 776 of the family's 1533-position model. The record is from RNAcentral.
UACGGAGGGUGCGAACGUUAAUCGGAAUCACUGGGCGUAAAGCGCGCGUAGGCGGUUCGUUAAGUGGGAUGUGAAAUCCCCGGGCUUAACCUGGGAAUUGCAUUUCAAACUGGCCGACUAGAGUACGGUAGAGGGAGGUAGAAUUCCCUGUGUAGCGGUGAAAUGCGUAGAUAUAGGAAGGAAUACCAGUGGCGAAGGCGGCCUCCUGGAUCGAUACUGACGCUGAGGCGCGAAAGCGUGGGGAGCAAACAGG